RNAcentral lists this ribosomal RNA (253 nucleotides) under uncultured bacterium. RNAcentral describes it as "partial 16S ribosomal RNA". It matches the Rfam family "Bacterial small subunit ribosomal RNA", at positions 524 to 776 of the family's 1533-position model. The record is from RNAcentral.
UACGUAGGGGGCAAGCGUUAUCCGGAUUUACUGGGUGUAAAGGGAGCGUAGACGGUUAUGCAAGUCAGAAGUGAAAGCCCAAAGCUCAACUUCGGGACUGCUUUUGAAACUGUGUAACUAGAGUGCAGGAGGGGUAAGCGGAAUUCCUAGUGUAGCGGUGAAAUGCGUAGAUAUUAGGAGGAACACCAGUGGCGAAGGCGGCUUACUGGACUGUAACUGACGUUGAGGCUCGAAAGCGUGGGGAGCAAACAGG